Molecule: long non-coding RNA, 416 nt
Organism: Homo sapiens (human)
Lineage: Eukaryota; Metazoa; Chordata; Mammalia; Primates; Hominidae
Source: Ensembl
CCAAGGGGAAAGUGACUUUACCCACGAGAGAGAUUUUUAAAUAUUCCCCCAACUGCUCCGAUGGGACCGUCUAGUUACAGGAAAACAAGCUCAAGGCUCCCACUGAUUCUACAUUACGUCCAUGGAAAAACUGUCUUCCCUGGUGCCAAAAAGGUUGACGGCUGUUCUGCAGCAAGGUCUUUAAACAAUGCCUGUGACAUAGACAAUCCCUCAGAAAGAUGCUUAUCUAACGUUCCCAGUGGUCAUGACUUUUGGCAAGAAAGUUGGAGAUGUGACCAGCUGCACAUGACUUUACCUAAAAGCUUGCUAUGUAAAGGACACUUUCUGGAGAGUGGGUGUAGGAAUUCACUGUCUCACUGCUGCCCAAGACAGCACUACUGUUUGUAAGCCCCUAUUAAAUAUUUCUUUCUGAGAAA